RNAcentral lists this ribosomal RNA (468 nucleotides) under uncultured bacterium. RNAcentral describes it as "partial 16S ribosomal RNA". It matches the Rfam family "Bacterial small subunit ribosomal RNA", at positions 28 to 507 of the family's 1533-position model. The record is from RNAcentral.
GACGAACGCUGGCGGCGUGCUUAACACAUGCAAGUCGAACGGAAAGGCCCUGCUUUUGUGGGGUGCUCGAGUGGCGAACGGGUGAGUAACACGUGAGUAACCUGCCCUUGAUUUUGGGAUAACUUCAGGAAACUGGGGCUAAUACCGGAUAGGAGCUCCUGCUGCAUGGUGGGGGUUGGAAAGUUUCGGCGGUUGGGGAUGGACUCGCGGCUUAUCAGCUUGUUGGUGGGGUAGUGGCUUACCAAGGCUUUGACGGGUAGCCGGCCUGAGAGGGUGACCGGCCUCAUUGGGACUGAGAUACGGCCCAGACUCCUACGGGAGGCAGCAGUGGGGAAUAUUGCACAAUGGGCGGAAGCCUGAUGCAGCAACGCCGCGUGCGGGAUGACGGCCUUCGGGUUGUAAACCGCUUUCGCCUGUGACGAAGCGUGAGUGACGGUAAUGGGUAAAGAAGCACCGGCUAACUACGUG